GAAGUGGGUAGUCCGCACGAGCGCACCCUACUUCAAUUGCCAGCACGUUAUGGUGGGAACUUUGAAGGAACUGCCGGUGAUAAGCCGGAGGAAGGUGGGGAUGACGUCAAGUCCUCAUGGCCCUUACGGGCCGGGCUACACACGUGAUACAAUGGUGAUUACAAGGGGCUGCUAAAGAGCGAUCUCAAGCAAAUCCUUAAAAGUCAUCUCAGUUCGGAUUGCACUCUGCAACUCGACUCCAUGAAGCAGGAAUCGCUAGUAAUCGUGGAUCAGAACGCCACGGUGAAUACGUUCCCGGGCCUUGUACACACCGCCCGUCACACCAUGGGAGCCGACAAGGGCAGAAGUCGCCGAGCUAACCUUCGGGAAGCAGGCGCCCAAGCUGUUGUUGACGACUGGGGUGAAGUCGUAACAAGGUAGCCGUAGGAGAACCUGCGGCUGGAUCACCUCCUUUCU
This 456-nucleotide ribosomal RNA is filed under the name uncultured Pelagibacterales bacterium. RNAcentral describes it as "bacterial SSU rRNA". It matches the Rfam family "Bacterial small subunit ribosomal RNA", at positions 1071 to 1533 of the family's 1533-position model. Lineage: Bacteria; Pseudomonadati; Pseudomonadota; Alphaproteobacteria; Candidatus Pelagibacterales. The record is from RNAcentral.